AUGCUGCUACUUUCUGUAUGGAGCUGGGAGCGUCUGCCUAUUGGACGACCGAAGAGCGUUAGGUUUAAUCCUUGGUAUGAAGAUGAACAUGACGAAUUACGACGCCCCACUUGGGCUUACAAGUGGGAUGUGGUUUCCGAGAUGACGAACGAUGUCAAUCUCAUGUACCAGAAGUACGUUGCCGAGUUGGACACGAUUACGCCUGAGCAGGUAACGAGGUCAUUACUUCAGUCAUUUCUCAUGUUUGCCAGAAAAAAGUCACCAAUUUUGCAAUUUUGCCUUAUUUCAUAG
This 291-nucleotide ribosomal RNA is filed under the name Triticum aestivum (bread wheat). RNAcentral describes it as "partial small subunit ribosomal RNA". The record is from RNAcentral. Lineage: Eukaryota; Viridiplantae; Streptophyta; Magnoliopsida; Poales; Poaceae.